This 457-nucleotide ribosomal RNA is filed under the name uncultured soil bacterium. RNAcentral describes it as "bacterial SSU rRNA". It matches the Rfam family "Bacterial small subunit ribosomal RNA", at positions 26 to 490 of the family's 1533-position model. The record is from RNAcentral.
AGAUUGAACGCUGGCGGCAUGCCUUACACAUGCAAGUCGAACGGCAGCACGGGAGCAAUCCUGGUGGCGAGUGGCGAACGGGUGAGUAAUAUAUCGGAACGUGCCCAGUCGUGGGGGAUAACGCAGCGAAAGCUGUGCUAAUACCGCAUACGAUCUCUGGAUGAAAGCGGGGGACUCAGCAAUGAGCCUCGCGCGAUUGGAGCGGCCGAUAUCAGAUUAGCUAGUUGGUGGGGUAAAAGCUCACCAAGGCGACGAUCUGUAGCUGGUCUGAGAGGACGACCAGCCACACUGGAACUGAGACACGGUCCAGACUCCUACGGGAGCAGCAGGUGGGGAAUUUGGACAAUGGCGCAAGCCUGAUCCAGCAAUGCCGCGUGCACGGAUGAAGGCCGUUUCGGGUUAGUUAACGUGUCUUUUAGUACGGUAACGAAACGUCUUACUUUACUAAUAAAGUAGG